This 6321-nucleotide unclassified non-coding RNA is filed under the name Haliotis rubra (blacklip abalone). RNAcentral describes it as "serine/arginine repetitive matrix protein 2-like, transcript variant X1". The record is from RNAcentral. Lineage: Eukaryota; Metazoa; Mollusca; Gastropoda; Lepetellida; Haliotidae.
CUAGCUCACUAAAGACACAGCACUCGCUCACACAUCCGUACAGAUGGGCUGAAUGUAAGUUCCCCUCGGGUUUGACACCAACGACAUUGAUUGCUGCCAUGCAUAUACAUGUACAUUUAGGAAAUAUUUGAUGCUACUGAAUACAUACCAAACAAGUUGAAAAUAAUAUUCCAAUUCUCUUGCUCAAAUUUUUAAAAUGAAGUUGGCUUUCAAAACUUUAAGUAGCUAUUAAAUAUAAGAAAUUGUUGACUGUGCAUGCGCGUGUGCGUUUGCGUUACUUUGUUUUGGUCUAUGUGAUAUGAAGCGGUCGACAUACAUGCGCCAUAUGUUUUCUCUCAACACAGCGAACAAAGCCACACAUUACUAUUUCCGCGUUGCACGUGUACACGUACGUGUUGACCCAAUUUGAGGUUUGCGGUACCCUGUGGAGCGUCUUAACUCCCGCCAAAUAGCCAUGCACGUGCUUCACAGAAAUGAGGCGUGGUCUGACAACGGUUGUAUAUUUCAAAUUGAUCGAUCAGACGGUUUGCAUAAUGAAUGAAAGAGUAGAGCUGCGACAUCGAUGUUUGUGUAUGCGACAUAUUGGUUGCUGUAAACCGACUCGCCGGGCAGGCAGAAACAGGAAGGAAAAGUGCCAACAUAUUGUACACUUGAGGCGACCAGGACACGGCUGCAGACGCCUCUGACGGGGUCGACAUGCCUCCACCGCCGUCGCCACGACAUGGGUAUCGUAAACUCAACGUCGAUAUGUCUCUGGUGCCAGCAAGUCAGCACAGUGUGUUCGUGAGAGGUUUGCCCCGAAACGCCUCGCCAGAUGACGUAAGAGAUUUGUUUGCUGGUGCGUGUGGGCACUGCUCGAUUGUGAUUCACAAAGUACGUGCCAAUGGCAAGUUCCUUGUUUUACGCUUCGAAAAGACGGAGGAGGCUCAACAGGCCAUAAACAAGUUUGAUGGCUGGGAGUACAAAGGCCAACAUUUCCUGCAAGUAGACUGGUACAAGGACGUUCUAAAGUACCACCUGGAGCAGAAGAAGAAGCAGUAUCCUGAUCGUCUUUUUGGAGCCCGUGCUGUCAGCAGAGCCAAACGAUGGCAGUGGCAGUUUAGGCCCUUGUCAAAUAAGACUGGAGUACGAAUUCAGCGGCCAUUUGGCAAGGCAAGUGACUGGCAACGAAACAGAUUCUACAACAGGUCUUCUAAUGCAUCUGCCUCUUAUGAGAACUCACAGGAAAGAUUUAGCAAUACACCUUGGGCAAUGACUCGAGAAAGCUCAUCAGAUGGUUCAAGUGAUACCUCUCCGGACAGAUCCAGUGAUCAAUUUCAUUGGAGGUCGAGAGAGAGGUCACAUGAUGGAUCCAGAGAGAGGUCACAGGACAGAUUAAGACAGAGGUCAGUUGAAGGAUCCAGAGAAAGGUCGCAGGAUAGAUUUAGGGAGAGGUCAGUUGAUGAAUCAAGUGAGAGGUCGCAGGACAGAUUGAGACAGAGAUCACAUGAAGGAUCCAGAGACAGGUCGCAGGAUAGAUUUAGGGAGAGGUCAGUUGAUGUAUCCAGUGAGAGGUUGCAGAAUAGAUUGACAGAGAGGUCGCAGGAUAGACUGACAGAGAGGUCUCAAGAUAGAUUGUCAGAGAGGUCUCAAGAUAGAUUGUCAGAGAGGUCUCAAGAUAGAUUGACAGAGAGGUCUCAAGAUAGAUUGACAGAGAGGUCAUGUGAUGGAUCCAGAGAGAACUUACUGGCUGGAUCUCUAGAUGGAUCACUUGAUGGGUCUCGAGAAAGGUCUUCAGAAGGAUCUUGUGAUAAAUAUGGCUCAUCCUGUGAUAGAAAGCUUAUGAAAGCACAGGAGAGACCAUGUGAUGUUCAAAGGGAUGUGUUGAAUUCAGUUUCCAGGGAAAUGUCAAGAGAAAGGUGCAGUUCUUCAUCAGAAGAUGUGUGCAAUGACAGACGAAGGGCAUGUGAAAAGACAUCUGAGAGGCCUGAAAAUGUUUCAGCAAAGACAAAACCAUGUGACCCCACGAACCUCACAAGAACAAGGGUAAGGUCAAUGGAGUUCAACCGUGAUCAACAGACACAAUUUGAGCAAAGAUCAUCCAGAAUUACAAAAUCAGGAACUCCCACACUGCAUGGGAGACGGGAAGACGCACCAAACAAACUUUCAUCAUCAGAGAAUGUGGAUAAACAUGACACCAAGAUCUCCUUGUCAACACCAGCAUCCAGUCAGGACAUUGCUAUUGACCUGGACUCACCAUGGUCGCCACCUUCACCAACGUCUGAUGACUCAGAGUUGGAACUGGCACCGGAACCUUCCCAAAAAAGAGCAAAGGACUUUGAACCAGGAGGGUUAGCAAGUGGUAGUUCCCCUGAUGAUAUUGAAGACUGGUAUGGACCAAUGCCACCAAAGAAACGUUCUUCUAAUUUUUCCCCCUCACAAAUUUCUGCUGGGGUCAAAAGUCAUGAGUUGGUGGGCAUAGGGAUAUUGGAACAACAAUCAAAAGAUGACCAAAGUGCAACCAAACAAAACGAACUGCCCCAAGAGACCUUGUCUAAGACCAGCAACAAUAGUACUUUCAGGGGUUGCUGGAUAGAAGUGGGGAAAAUAUCCAAAAAGGGUCCUAAGACUCAGUAUCGCAAAUUUAUGUUGGGCAAGGAUACAAAAUGUUUAAAAAGUGAAAUAUCUGAUAAAGAGCAUGAUUCGGGGAUCAAUUCAAGUUCGGAUAAAAAGGUAAAAGAAGACAAAAGUGAGAGAAAGUCAUCUGGUGAUUCUGAUAACGCUGCAGGUCCUGAGUGGUCACCUGGUGAGGUAGGGAUGCGGAGGCUGGAAGAGGCAUGCACCAUGUCCCUCCAUCAUCCCCCCAUACACAGCUUCACCAGAGAGAUCCUCGAACCUCGAGGGCCUGGAACAAGUAUGCCUUAUAUCAAGCCACAUAAUUUGUCUGACAAGAAGACCAUCAGCACUCUGGAAAGAAUCCGAGCUGAGGAGAUCCAAACUGACACCAAACAAAAAUCAUCAAAGAAAACCCAGAAAAAAUCUCCACUGUAUAUAAACCCUGAGGAAGAGACACCAAACAAGGAUGAGCAUUUUGAUGCCAGUGUUGAGUGUGAAUCUGCAUCCAGUUCCAGACCCUUCUUUCUGAGGUUCACCCCUCAUCGCCUCAGCUAUCAGUCUCCUCUAGCCGUGUUCACUAGCAUGGAGGAGCCCCGAUUGUCUGCUGACUUGCAUCCAAGCAGAAAGAAGAUGUAUCUGCCAUCAGAGGACGCCUCGGCUACAGUUGUGUCCAAACCAACAGGGGUGAAAUCGCUGAGAGAGAGAACCUCUUCUGCAUUACCUUUGGAGGAUAGAAAUGACCUUGAAUUUAUUGAUUCAGAGCUGGAGAAAUCAUAUGAUGAAAAAUUUCCUGACUCAGGUGAUGCUUUGAGACUGCAUAAACGUAUUGAUUCAAGGACCAAGAAGAUGGCCUCCCUUGUGCCGUAUCCAGUGGCCGACCACUCCUUCCAGCAUAGUAUGGCAGAAUCCAGCAAUCUGAAGCUGGACCCAGACGAUGAUACCCGGAGGUGGCAUGGAUCAGGGGGACACAUGUCCAGGGAUGGCAGAAGGAACAGGUCGUUGACAAAGAUGAGAGAGAGCUGCAGUUUAUCAACUGAUCUGUCUUCUUCUCAAAGCAGGAUAACCAGCACCAGCACCACUUCAGACAGCACAAUGGAGACCAGUGACUCGAGCCUCAGUUCUGCAGUCAAACAUCCAAGACAUGGCAAACAUCUAUAUUUGAGCAAUAGAAAACUGUCUUCAUCUCCCAACAGAAACAGUUUGAAAGAAACAUUGGAAUCACCAUCGGUUUCUUCAAAAAACAGGUCAAAGUCUCCAAAAUGGUCAAGGUCAAGGUCAAGGUCUAUGUCUCCAGGGAAUAGCUCCAAGAAAACGUUGCCUGCAACAAGAAAAGGCUCUAGAUCUCCAUCACCUAGCAAAAGAUCUCCGCUAAGAUCAAGAUCUACUUCACCUACCUACCUACUACCUUUUCCUGACACUUCUCGGAAAAGGUUACGAUCGCCCAAUAGGUCACAGAACAGGUCUAGGUCAUCAUCACCGAGGAACAGAUCAGCAUCCCCACUCAAACGGAAGAGAUGUAGGUCUCCUAGAAGAUCCAGGUCAAGGUCACUCACCCCUGACAACACAUCAACCUCACCUAGCAAUCAGUCAAGGUCACCUAACAAUAGGCAAACACUGGAGGAUGGGGAGCCCACAUCUCAAACCAGUCAGACAUCGAACUGUGGGAAGAGUGCUUGGACCUCAACCCCUAAGUAUGAGCGAUGGCAGAGAAAGGCCUUGUCUCGUGGACAGAUGCAGAGGGUUCACCUAAAAAAGCAAGAACUAGAGGCGGCUUUCAAGAGUGACUGUGAGACCAUCUGUAACGUGACCAAGGUUCUAUUGAGUAAGGAUCCAAGUCUGGAAAAACAAAUGUGCAAUAGUGCUAAGAACACUCUGACUGAUCUUGGUGCCAAGUUCGUCACCCAACUGCAAGAGUUCAUCGAUUCACUAAGCUCCCAUGUCCCAAGGUCAAGAAAAAAGGCACCCUAGCACCGCACCCUAGCACGUCAGUCAUCCAGAUGGUGCUGUCCUUAAAAAACAUGCUUAUUGAUAAUCAUGGCAAAGAGAGAUGUUAAAUGUUGUCUUUAUAUGCUUAUGUAUUUUGGAACCAGAGCUGUGCAAAAAGAGGGAAUCACAUCCAUGUGCUCAAAGUAGCAAAUUUUGGUCUUAUAUAGUAAGAUCUCUGCAUUUGUAUGGAUAUGCCCCAUUCAUAGUUGAAAGGAUGAGUGUUUAUGAGUGUAUUUGUGCUUGAAGUAUGUUGACUCUUGAUACAUUACUAAAAAGAAAGAGUCUGCUUGAUUUAUGUGUGUGCUUGGACUCUGUGUGCUUGUAGUAUGUGUGUGCUUGAAGGAUGUAUGUGCUUGAGGGAUGUGUGUGCUUGAGGAAUGUGUGUGCUUGAAGGAUGUGUGUGCUUGAAGGAUGUAUGUGCUUGAAGGAUGUGUGUGCUUGGGGGAUGUAUGUGCUUGAAGGAUGUAUGUGCUUGUAGUAUGUGUGUGCUUGAGGGAUGUAUGUGCUUGAAGGAUGUAAGUGCUUGAAGGAUGUAUGUGCUGGUAGUAUGUGUGUGCUUGAAGGAUGUAUGUGCUUGUAGUAUGUGUGUGCUUGAGGGAUGUAUAUGCUUGUAGUAUGUGUGUGCUUGAGGAAUGUGUGUGCUUGAAGGAUGUAAGUGCUUGAAGGAUGUAUGUGCUUGUAGUAUGUGUGUGCUUGAGGAAUGUGUGUGCUUGAAGGAGGUGUGUGCUUGAAGGAUGUGUGUGCUUGAAGGAUGUAUGUGCUUGAAGGAUGUGUGUGCUUGGGGGAUGUAUGUGCUUGUAGGAUGUGUGUGCUUGAAGGAUGUAUGUGCUUGUAGUAUGUGUGUGCUUGAGGAAUGUGUGUGCUUGAAGGAGGUGUGUGCUUGAAGGAUGUAUGUGCUUGUAGGAUGUAUGUGCUUGAAGGAUAUAUGUGCUUGUAGGAUGUAUGUGCUUGUAGUGUGUAUGUGCUUGUAAUAUGUGUGCUUGAGGGAUGUGUGUGCUUGAGGAAUGUGUGUGCUUGAAGGAUGUAAGUGCUUGUAGUAUGUGUGCUUGAGGAAUGUGUGUGCUUGAAGGAUGUGUGUGCUUGAAGGAUGUAUGUGCUUGGGGGAUGUAUGUGCUUGAAGGAUGUAUGUGCUUGUAUGUGUGUGCUUGAGGGAUGUAUGUGUUUGAAGGAUGUAAGUGCUUGAAGGAUGUAUGUGCUUGUAGUAUGUGUGUGCUUGAGGGAUGUGUGUGCUUGAAGGAUGUAUGUGCUUGUAGUAUGUGUGUGCUUGAGGGAUGUAUGUGCUUGAAGGAUGUGUGUGCCUGAGGGAUGUGUGUGCUUGAAGGAUGUAUGUGCUUGAAGGAUAUAUGUGCUUGAAGGAUGUAUGUGCUUGAGGGAUGUAUGUGCUUGAAGGAUGUAUGUGCUUGAAGGAGGUGUGUGCUUGAAGGAUGUGUGUGCUUGAAGGAUGUAUGUAUGGGAAGAGAAUGCAUCAGGAAGAAUAUACAAUUUUGAAACAAUGUAUAUGCAUGGAGUUUAUGCAUGCAAGAUAAUGUCCAUGUAUAUUUGAAUGAUAUGAGUGCUGAAGGAUGAGCAUGCUUGAUGCUGCAUGUACAUGAUUAAUAAAGUAUUACAUCCUUGAAGUUUGUGGAUACUCAAAGUGUUAAACUGCUUUAUGAAAUUAUGAAUGCUUGUGGAAUAUGUGAACAUUGAAGGAAGUAUAUACAUGUUUGCAGUAGCUAAGUAAAUAAAUUAGGGAUUACCGUU